Molecule: long non-coding RNA, 370 nt
Filed under: Equus caballus (horse)
Lineage: Eukaryota; Metazoa; Chordata; Mammalia; Perissodactyla; Equidae
Description: lncRNA (ENSECAG00000045628.1)
Source: RNAcentral
AGAAGAGAUGUGAAUACUUUCAUCCCUGGACCUCCAGUGGAGAAGGCUGCGUGUCCUUCAGAGAAACCCGGCCUUUGUUCCAUACAGCAAGGAGUUAUAGGAUGGAGGAACAAAGAAUCUUUGGAGAGUAGCUGAUUCCUUGUCUUAGGCUGAGGAAAAAUCGACAUGGAUUUGAAAAUCUUAUUUUUGCUGGAAAUCAAGAGUGCUUUCAGAAAAUCUCAAAGAGUACAAAAAGAAAAGCAGAGGUGCUGGGAGAAACUGGGAGCCAGAGCCUGCUCUUUCCCAUUCAGAGGGAGGCAGCGGAGGCGAAGGACCAGGAGCAGGAACUCUGAAGCCAGAGGAAUUUUAAAACAUUGGUAUGAUCCUAGGC